AAUAAUGUAAGUGAAGGAAACAUCAACAGAUGUUACCCAUCUAUUGCCAGUACAGGCAAGCAUUAAGGAUUCAGAAGACUUUACAGAAGACUUUACAGAAGACUAUGAGUAUGGUGCUUUGUAACGACCUGUAAGAGAUGUUGAAGUGUAAUAUGUUGGCCCUGUGUACAAUCCUAAUGGAGAUACAGGAUAUAGCUACAAAGAAAAGCUGAGGACUGCUUUAUAACUAAGGCUGGCUUUCAGAUAUAAUAAUAGCCAAAGACUUCAACUUCUGGCUAAGAUGGAGUAACGUGGACUGGAUUUAUCCUCCCACCCUGAGCAACUGGAAAACUGGACAAAAAAUGUGAAACAGCAAUUUUUAGACAUUGGACAGUAGAGAGCACAGGACUCUCAUCCCUGAGAGAAGAGAAGCAAACAAGAAAUAUGCGCAUAUGGAGAAUAUCUUGAGUACAACUUCAGGGAAUUUGAAGACUUUCUGAAGUCCAUCUCAGCACCCCGUGGGGUCCAAACCUCACAGUAGAGACAGGGUUUCUCCAGGUUCACCAGGC
This 548-nucleotide long non-coding RNA is filed under the name Homo sapiens (human). RNAcentral describes it as "HSALNT0342145". Lineage: Eukaryota; Metazoa; Chordata; Mammalia; Primates; Hominidae. The record is from RNAcentral.